Molecule: ribosomal RNA, 2085 nt
Filed under: Triticum aestivum (bread wheat)
Lineage: Eukaryota; Viridiplantae; Streptophyta; Magnoliopsida; Poales; Poaceae
Description: partial small subunit ribosomal RNA
Source: RNAcentral
AUGGAGGGUGGUCGUCUUGUUGUUGCUGCUCCGCUGCUCUAUCUCUAUGGCUGGGGCUGGGACUGGGACUGGGAAGGAAGAAGAGUUGCGAGGGUGAGAAUGGGGAGGAGGGGCUGGAGAGAAGAGAAGAAGGCCAUUGUUAACCCGGUCGUUUUACCGGAAUGUAAUGAGAUGUGGCCUCUAGCUGGAGGAGAUGUGGGUGGGCGCGGGCCGGGGGGUUCCUUGUUCUCUUUCUCAGCACCCCAUGUGCCGCUCCAAGGCCCUGUACCCACCAUCACCAUGAGAGAGAGAGAUGCUUGUCCACUUGUCCAUCUCCUCUCUCUCAUCUCUCUGGAGUCAACAUCAGUUUGUCAUUUUGCAAGUGCCCAUGGCCAUGGGGAAGUGAAGAGUUUGGUCGUUGGGUUAGGUAAAAACGUGUCUCCUUCCAAACCCAGUAGGACUACUCGUCAGUUGGGUUGGGUUGGGUUGGGUGAGGAGGAAGAAGAAGACGAUACUAAAUCUGACAGCGUCUUCUUGCAGCCAUUAGCUGUGCUUUGUCCAAAAAUUAGUGGGGGGCUGCUCCUGCAAAUGAAAUCAUCCAUCUGGCCUGGUGCGUCUUCGGGUCAAGGACGCAUUCAAUGUGAGUGGCAGGGCAGGGCAGGGCCAACUAACAACACCGCAUUCAUGCGUUGCGCUCUAACCAUAUAUGCCAGGAGAUCGGCGCCACAACGUUUUUACACCCUUCCUGUGGCCAGGAGCGGCUGCCGCUAUAAUCCUUUGCACUCGCCUGAGGCGCUGAGCUUCCAGGUAAUACAGUCUUGGGUUACUGGAAUGAGAGUGAGGGCAGCCUGCUUGAUCUCCCUCGCAAGCUGCACCACCUGCAGUGCAAUGACGUCCGGGUCACCUCGCCUCAAGUCCAGGAUCCAUCUGUCGUCGUGCAACGCGUCCUUGACUGAACGCUUCCCUCGAAUCCUGCCGUUCCAGCCCAUUCCGUCGCUGGCUGGCCGGAUCCGGCACCCGCUUCUGCCGCCUGCCCGGACCAGGCACUCCUGCUGCGCCCGAAGCUCUUCUUCUCUAGCCGCCGACCUUGCCCUCCACGCACCUGGCCCGCCUGCCCGCCGGCGCCCCCGCCGCUAUCCGGCCGCUGCUGCCCGCGGCUGCCUGCACCAGGCCGCUCGCCUUCGUGCCCCUGCCUCUGUUCGAGCGGGGAUCGAGCCCCGCCCGCUCUGCCCUUGCUCUAGAUCGAGCCCCGCCCGCUCGUCCCUGCUUCAGAUCGAGCCAGGCCGCCCCGCCCGCUCGUGUUCGGUGAUCUUUGAUGGCACCAACUACGCUGAGUUUGUGGGCUUCAUGCGCAUUCAUAUGCGUGGCCUUCUUUUGUGGGGUGUUCUUUCUGGCGAGGUCCCCUGUCCGCCAUGCCCUGUUGCGCCAGUGGCCCCAAUCCCACCGGUGCUACCGGUCCUUGCUGUUGAUGCUUCUCAGGCUGACCGGGAUGCUGCCAAGGCUCAGGAUGAUGCUGCGGUUGAUGCUUAUGAUCAGCAGCUAUCCGCUUAUUCCGAUGCUCUCUCUGUGUACCGGGAUGAUCUGUCUGCUUACACUCAGUGGUGCAAUGAUAAUGCUCGAGCUGCUGCUGUUCUCACUGCGAGUGUCCUCCCUCAGUUUGCUUCCGAGUUCAUGGGACUUGGCACAGUUGCGGCGAUGUGGUCUUAUCUCUGUCAGCGCUAUCAGCCCUCUGGUGAUGCUCUCUACCUAUCUGUGGUACAUCAGGAGCAUGCACUCCAGCAAGGUGAUUCCUCUGUUGAUGAGUUCUAUUCACAGUGCUCUGCCAUCUGGCGUCAGCUUGACUCUCUUCGGACCGUCGUUUGUGGAACUUGCCGUUGCUGUCAGACUACACGUUCGAGCCUCGCCGUGCUCACCUGCUCGCUCGUGGUCGUGUUCCUAUCUCAGAGGUGCUUGCUGAGCUUCGUGCUGAAGAGACCCGCCUACGCUCUGCUGGGUUACUUGUGGUUCCAUCCGUGUUGGCCGCCCGAGCUCCUAUGCCCCCUGCUCGCCUCACCGCUCCACCACUCCUGCCUACUCCUUCAGGGGGGGUCGUCCUUCUUAUGCUGA